Magallana angulata is the source of this 809-nucleotide long non-coding RNA. RefSeq lists it as uncharacterized. The transcript has 3 exons. The record is from RefSeq and is a predicted model, not a curated record. NCBI's taxonomy places the organism in Eukaryota, Metazoa, Mollusca, Bivalvia, Ostreida, Ostreidae.
GCAGUAUACCAUGUCGAUUUCCAAGUUUUGGAUUGAAUUGUCAAGAAGAAUGCAAUUGCACAGAAAAUAUUUGUAACUUCAAGGAAGGAUGCAGAGAAGAUUUGACGACUGACAAAAUGGUAACGAACACUAUUUAUACUAAAAAAUAUACAGGGAAUAUAUCAGUACACACAUGGACCAAUGUCAGGAAUAUUGAGAAUACGUCUCCUUCUCGUGAAGAUAUAAUGACGAAAUCAAUUGAUGCAAACAAACGUUUCUCUCUUCAUACAGUAAUCGUUGUUCUUUCAAUAUUAGCUUUUAUACUUUUAUGUGUUUAUGUUUCCAAAUUUGCGAUGACAUCUCGGGCGCAAGGAAUAAGGAAUAAGAUGUAUUCGAAAUCCACAGCAAUUCAGAGCAAGUGUAAACAACUGACAAAUCUAUGUUUGGUACCUUAUCGAGAUUGAGAAUUGAGUCUCCUCAGCAUGUUCCAGAUAUUUCAGUUGGUAUUGUUAAAAGUUAGAUCGAGCAUUGAACUGUAUGCAACUAACCCCUAAGGAUAAACGGUUAAUUACUGUAAAAUGCAUCUUAAGGUCAAGUUCUAGUAAAUGAAAGGUGCCUACAAGUUCAUAGAAUUUAAGAUAUAAAUUCUUUCAAUCAUGCUUCAAAACAAUAGCUUUGUUUGAUAAUGUGUACCGGGGCUAAAAUGUUUGGUAAACACAAUGAAAAAUCAUGUUUUAAACUGUCAUUUUCAAUGAAAUAUGAAGGAAUUGAACAACAAAUUUCGGAGAUUUAUCAAUUUUUGACGAAUUCAACACAUCUAAAAUGCCUAC